This 300-nucleotide ribosomal RNA is filed under the name uncultured bacterium. RNAcentral describes it as "bacterial SSU rRNA". It matches the Rfam family "Bacterial small subunit ribosomal RNA", at positions 495 to 795 of the family's 1533-position model. The record is from RNAcentral.
GACAACCGCUGCUCGGCAGCGUGGGUAAAGCUGGGGGUGGAAGCGUUGUUCGGAAGUACGGGGCGUACAGGGCUCGUAGGCGGCCGAGUAAGUCAGACUGUGCAUCCCGCGGCUUAACCGGUGAACUGAGUCGGAUACUGGAUGGCUUGAGUGUGGGAGAGGGAUGCGGAAUUCCAGGUGUAGCGGUGAAAUGCGUAGAUAUCUGGAGGAACACCGGUGGCGAAGGCGGCAUCCUGGACCAUUACUGACGCUGAGGAGCGAAAGCCAGGGGAGCAAACGGGAUUAGAUACCCUAGUAGUC